Meriones unguiculatus (Mongolian gerbil) is the source of this 1258-nucleotide long non-coding RNA. RefSeq lists it as uncharacterized. The transcript has 2 exons. Lineage: Eukaryota; Metazoa; Chordata; Mammalia; Rodentia; Muridae. The record is from RefSeq and is a predicted model, not a curated record.
CCUGGAGGGUGGGGCGCGCACCCGGGCGACCAGGUGCUCGCCGGGAAACCGCGGGCGCAGACUCCGGCUCCGACUCGGGCUCCCUCCGGAACGGAGCAGGGUCGGGAAGACGAGCGGAGGGUCGCGGGCGCUGGCUUUUACUCUCGCACGGGAGGACGGCUUUCAGGAACUAUCCUGCCUCUUUGUCCUGGGACGUACACAUGCUGUCUCGGGGCCUGGCUAGCUGCAUGGGGCUUGGUCACGUGAGCUUGCGCAGCGCAGGUGCGCCCUCGCCUCUGCGGAGCUGCAGCUUUGGGCUGCGGGAUGCGAGCCCUUCAAAAAUAUGGAUGGGCUCCCCUUGCCGCCUUCAAGACACACGGCCUUGCUGCACGCCGCACUGCGCAGAGGCCGGGGAGCUAGGCUCAGCUGCACAACCCAGGGCUUCCUGCGAACACCUGCUGAGAGCACCUGCUUGCUGCAGACACCCGGCCUGGCCUAGCUGCAGCCGCUGGCCUAGAACUCACCCCGGGCUCCCCGCGAGGCUGCAAGCCGGAAGGACCUUCCACGAGCGCACGUAAAUCCGUGCGACUUCGUUUCCAAUCAAAUGAUUUAAGUAAAAAUUCCUCAUGGAUGUGCCCAGCCGUUUUCAUUCCUGAUGUUAAGUUGAUAACAAAGAAUAGCCUUCACAUCUGCCUAGCAUUUAUUGACAUUUGGGACCUGGUUAAUUGAGGGAAGAGAGUAUUGGUCUCACUGUCUAGCUGGCCUAGAACAUGAUAGGUAAGCCCAGGCAGCCCUUUACUUUAACAUCUUCCUGUGUAAGCUCCCCAGUGCCUGUCCAGAUGACUGGCUUCUCAGUGCGCCCACUCGUUGGUGUUAAUAAAAUGUUUGAAACGUUCCUUUGUGACCUUAUCAAGUUAGUCCUUAUUAUUGCACAGUUAUUCAGCACACACAAAAGUGUUCAAAAUCCAGAUUAUGUGCCAAAUAUGUGCGUCAUUCGAUCUUAGCUCUGUUGGUCUGGUGAUUGAGUGUUGCCCAAAGGUUAGUUUGUUGGAAGCUUGGUCCCUCUUUUAGUGCUGUUAAGAAAUGGGGUUUCAAUGAGGUUACUCCUGGGUCAAGGGUGCUUGCAGCCAAGCUUGACAGCCUGAGUUUGAUGUGGGACCCACAGGGUGAAAAGAGAAAACCAACCUGAGGGUUGUCAUCUGACCUCCACACGUGCACUUUGCCACUCACACUGACAUAAAUUUUAAAAAAUAUUUUAUUAAACAACUGAUAAACUGUA